This is a non-coding RNA of Pelobates cultripes (western spadefoot toad), 2168 nucleotides long. Lineage: Eukaryota; Metazoa; Chordata; Amphibia; Anura; Pelobatidae. The record is from the annotation of a GenBank genome assembly.
CCCCUUUCAUUUGUGUUAAUUUGUUUCUGUAUCAGAUGAAGAAGCAAAUUACUCUCUCUACCAUCAUCCAACUUCUAGAUUAAACCCAAUCAGCCGUUUCAUUUCCCAAUAUAGCCAACCAUAGCCAGCUCUUCUAAAAGGGCCAAAUCUCCAACCUAGAACUCCAAAUGAAUGCUACCUCCAAAGGUGUUCUAAAAGAGCUGAUCAUAGCAUAGCUGGCUCUAACUUCCUACAAUGUGAAUUUAUAUUAUGCUUGUCCAGCUCUCCCUGUCUCCAAAUCCUGCAGGCUUACUCUUCCCAUCUCAGUGUAUCCAUGAUUGUAAGACGUGAGACGAAUUAGCCCCCAGAAAGUCUCGUGGGGGGAGGUGAAUGGAAGAUCUUCCCCAGUCAUAAUGGUGACACAUUAAAAUCGUAUGUUUUACUGUUUACAAAGGUAGAAAAACAAAACAUAUUCUAAAAAAAAAUCUCCUUCUACACAUCACUUUUAAACAAUUUAAUUUCAACAGGACUAUGCAUUUAAAAUAAGCCCAUUAUUGAAUAACUGAUUAUCUUUAUGAUAAAUGUUACAUAUAUAUAAAGGCAGGGUCAGGAAGCUGAUUUCAGUCUAUGGAAACCUGCAUGAUUUAACAAAUAAUCCCUAAGGGGUGUAUAUUUUUGUGAAAGUCUGUACCCCUUCCCAGAAUCUUCUUUGGUUUCUGUAUCACCUUAUUUAUCACAUCAGUCACUGCUAAACCUCAUAGCUGGGAACUUUGCAACACACUGUAUAGAGAAAACACAGGGCCUAUACACUAAACACCAAACUGUGGUUUAUUGAACCUGGAAUUAUGAACUAUGAUAAAAAGGGAGAUUUUUCUAAAAAUCCUCUCAAAGGGCUUUAUUCACAGCCUGACCAGUUCAUCGUAAAGUUUACAAUUUAUUUUUCAGUUCACAACAAUUUAGUGUUUAGUGAAUUCUGGCAAUCUUUUUGCCCAAAUCCUUUCUGACUGCGUUAUUCAUAUUAUGUCAUGGUCUGAUCUCUCUUACCGUUACUUUAUACAUUUGGAAGGUAAUACCAACAAAGUACCAACAAUGUAGCGUAUCAGAACCUGAGCCAGUAAAAUGCUCCACUUGAUGUGAGUUCAGUGAAUCAGGAAUAUCCUAAUAUGGGCUGAGAUUUUUGUAUUGCACUGCACUGUAUCUAACUAGCUUUACAACAUGCAUGGGGGUGCAUAGAAUACAGAAACACAAUAUUAAACCUAAAUAUUACACCAACACCCAAAAAGGUAACAACUUUUUUUUUUUAUAGCAUGAUACCAUCCAGAGAUUUUAGUAUAAUAGUAUCCUGUCUGUGAAUUAAGUGCUGGGUCUGUAAUUACUCUGUGUAUUCUGAUUUCCCUCUAGCAGUCUGCAAAGAGAGGGGUUAGUUGGUUAUGUUUAUUGCCAGAAGGAGUGGGCAUCUGGUGGUACUAUAAUUAUGAGGAGGAAGAGUUGGCAUGGUUUUAGAGGAGGGAAGGAGAUUUCUCCAGCGCCUAGUAUAAUAAAUGGUGCAGUAUCAUAGAUCACCCUUUAACAGAAAGUGCUACAGAGUCCUGUAUUUAAAAUGUUAACCCUCAACCCACUGAAUGAGGGUAUAUCUUUAUUCCUUCCACCCCCACCCCCACCCAUUCAUAUUGUUAAACAAUAUGCAGCUGUACAAAAAGUAUAAAAUAGGAGGAACCUUGCGCAUGCUCUGAUACACUGAAUUGCUGAGACAAGAGGAGAGAUUAACCCCUUAAGGACACAACUUCUGGAAUAAAAGGGAAUCAUGGCGGAAUUAAGGGGUUAAAGGGACACUACAGACAUCAAUACCACUUCAUCUUAGCAUUUAAUUGGAGGAGUGUAGCGAUUGGUUGCACAUGCGUAUCUCCAAUACAAUGCUCCUCUAUGUAAAGCAUUAGAUUGGUUGAGAUUGCAGAAGACUUCAGCUGGCGUUCUGACGUCUUCGGGGGCGGAGCAAGAAGCUGCAAUGGAGGAGUCUCAAUUCUGUAAACGAAGUAAUAGUUAACGUUAAUUUUACACAGAAAACGGUGCUGGACAGCUAUUACACUGCCAGAAGGGAAUCUAUAGUCCCAAAAAAAUAACGAUUGUUAUUAUGCUGAUGCAAAUGGAGGAUUAAUGAUACUUUGCAGAGACACAAGCACUAAAUACAU